This 1957-nucleotide ribosomal RNA is filed under the name human gut metagenome. RNAcentral describes it as "bacterial LSU rRNA". It matches the Rfam family "Bacterial large subunit ribosomal RNA", at positions 3 to 1984 of the family's 2925-position model. The record is from RNAcentral.
UUAAGUUAAUAAGGGCGCACGGUGGAUGCCUUGGCACUAGAAGCCGAUGAAGGACGUGACUAACGACGAAAUGCUUUGGGGAGUUGUAAGUAAACAUUGAUCCAGAGAUGUCCGAAUGGGGGAACCCGGCAUGUGAAGCAUGUCACUCAUUACUGUUAAGGUAAUGAAGAGGAAGACGCAGUGAACUGAAACAUCUAAGUAGCUGCAGGAAGAGAAAGCAAACGCGAUUGCCUUAGUAGCGGCGAGCGAAACGGCAAGAGGGCAAACCGAUGUGUUUACACAUCGGGGUUGUAGGACUGCGUUGUGGGACGCAAGAUUAUAGAAGAAUUACCUGGGAAGGUAAGCCAAAGAGAGUAAUAGCCUCGUAUUCGAAAUAGUCUUUAUACCUAGCAGUAUCCUGAGUACGGCGAGACACGAGAAAUCUCGUCGGAAUCUGGGAGGACCAUCUCCCAACCCUAAAUACUCUCUAGUGACCGAUAGUGAACCAGUACCGUGAGGGAAAGGUGAAAAGCACCCCGGGAGGGGAGUGAAAUAGAACCUGAAACCGUGUGCCUACAACAAGUUCGAGCCCGUUAAUGGGUGAGAGCGUGCCUUUUGUAGAAUGAACCGGCGAGUUACGAUAUGAUGCGAGGUUAAGUUGAAGAGACGGAGCCGUAGGGAAACCGAGUCUUAAUAGGGCGCUUUAGUAUCAUGUCGUAGACCCGAAACCAUGUGACCUACCCAUGAGCAGGGUGAAGGUGAGGUAAAACUCACUGGAGGCCCGAACCAGGGCACGUUGAAAAGUGCUUGGAUGACUUGUGGGUAGCGGAGAAAUUCCAAACGAACUUGGAGAUAGCUGGUUCUCUCCGAAAUAGCUUUAGGGCUAGCGUCGAUGUUAAGUCUCUUGGAGGUAGAGCACUGUUUGAUUGAGGGGUCCAUCCCGGAUUACCAAUAUCAGAUAAACUCCGAAUGCCAAUGAGAUAUAAUCGGCAGUCAGACUGCGAGUGCUAAGAUCCGUAGUCGAAAGGGAAACAGCCCAGACCACCAGCUAAGGUCCCAAAAUAUAUGUUAAGUGGAAAAGGAUGUGGGGUUGCACAGACAACUAGGAUGUUAGCUUAGAAGCAGCUAUUCAUUCAAAGAGUGCGUAAUAGCUCACUAGUCGAGUGACCCUGCGCCGAAAAUGUACCGGGGCUAAAACAUAUUACCGAAGCUGUGGAUACCUAUUAUAGGUAUGGUAGGAGAGCGUUCUAUGUGUGAAGAAGGUGUACCGUGAGGAGCGCUGGAACGCAUAGAAGUGAGAAUGCCGGUAUGAGUAGCGAAAGACAGGUGAGAAUCCUGUCCACCGUAAGACUAAGGUUUCCAGGGGAAGGCUCGUCCGCCCUGGGUUAGUCGGGACCUAAGGAGAGACCGAAAGGUGUAUCCGAUGGCCAACAGGUUGAUAUUCCUGUACUAGAGUAUAUAGUGAAGGAGGGACGCAGUAGGCUAACUAAAGCGUGCGAUUGGAAGAGCACGUCUAAGCAGUGAGGUGUGAUAUGAGUCAAAUGCUUGUAUCUCUAACAUUGAGCUGUGAUGGGGAGCGAAGUUAAGUAGCGAAGUUAGUGAUGUCACACUGCCAAGAAAAGCUUCUAGCGUUAAUUAUACUCUACCCGUACCGCAAACCGACACAGGUAGUCGAGGCGAGUAGCCUCAGGUGAGCGAGAGAACUCUCGUUAAGGAACUCGGCAAAAUGGCCCCGUAACUUCGGGAGAAGGGGCGCUGACUUAUGGUCAGCCGCAGUGAAUAGGCCCAAGCAACUGUUUAUCAAAAACACAGCUCUCUGCUAAAUCGUAAGAUGAUGUAUAGGGGGUGACGCCUGCCCGGUGCUGGAAGGUUAAGAGGAGUGCUUAGCAAUAGCGAAGGUAUGAAUUGAAGCCCCAGUAAACGGCGGCCGUAACUAUAACGGUCCUAAGGUAGCGAAAUUCCUUGUCGGGUAAGUUCC